RNAcentral lists this ribosomal RNA (459 nucleotides) under uncultured bacterium. RNAcentral's name for it is "partial 16S ribosomal RNA". It matches the Rfam family "Bacterial small subunit ribosomal RNA", at positions 338 to 795 of the family's 1533-position model. The record is from RNAcentral.
CCUACGGGAGGCUGCAGUGAGGAAUAUUGGUCAAUGGGCGCGAGCCUGAACCAGCCAAGUCGCGUGAGGGAAGACGGUCCUAUGGAUUGUAAACCUCUUUUGUCGGGGAGCAAAAGACGCCACGCGUGGCCUUCCGAGAGUACCCGAAGAAAAAGCAUCGGCUAACUCCGUGCCAACAGCCGCGGUAAUACGGAGGAUGCGAGCGUUAUCCGGAUUUAUUGGGUUUAAAGGGUGCGCAGGCGGACGAUCAAGUCAGCGGUAAAAUUGAGAGGCUCAACCUCUUCGAGCCGUUGAAACUGGUUGUCUUGAGUGGGCGAGAAGUAUGCGGAAUGCGCGGUGUAGCGGUGAAAUGCAUAGAUAUCACGCAGAACUCCGAUUGCGAAGGCAGCAUGCCGGCGCUCAACUGACGCUGAGGCACGAAAGUGUGGGUAUCGAACAGGAUUAGAUACCCGAGUAGUC